Chionomys nivalis (European snow vole) is the source of this 3735-nucleotide long non-coding RNA. RefSeq lists it as uncharacterized. The transcript has 4 exons. Lineage: Eukaryota; Metazoa; Chordata; Mammalia; Rodentia; Cricetidae. The record is from RefSeq and is a predicted model, not a curated record.
GGUCAACAAGACCCUAGGUGUGAAAUGUCACCUUCACCCUCAGCCAACUGCUUGCCCCUGCCCACCCUAGGCGUCAUAGUGUCAGCUGAAUGAGGGUCUCGCUCUUUCCAGCACGACCAGGGAAGACCAACGGGGAGUGAGAACACUGUGGUCUGUUCGUAUGUCCAGUGUAAGAACAAACUCUCAGAACCACUUCCCCUUCAAAGAGCUGGCCUGAUCUUCAAAAGCGGUAGAUUUAGGGUCACUGGGUACUAAGUGUUGUCCCGGAAUGAGCAGCACUGGCCUGCUAAUGGGAACACACAGGCACUCUCCGAGGUUAGCCUCAGGCUGAUGCUGGCACCACUGGGAGAUUUUUCAGCAGUGCAUAAGAGUAUUUGGGACCUUGCAGUUGAGUACUCAACAGGAUUUGGACAGGGGUGAUCAGCAGCAGAACACAGGCAGGUGAGUAGGAGGACCAAUGAUCCUCAGAAGAAAGGAAAGGCUGUGCCCGGUCCCUAUCCACUCGGGCCCUCCUGGUCAGCUGGCUUCCCUGUCUACAUUUUUACCUUUCCAGUGGCCUCAACAGCCUUUGGCCUGUGGAUUUCUUCAUUUGGCUCCCAAGGCUUUUAUCUUCAAGACUGCUCUCUCCCUAUCUGCAGUCUACCCUCUGUGUCUCGGUCUCUUCCCCUCUCUCUUGCUGCCCAUUUUUGUGUGUGCAUCCAGCCAGCACCAAUCAGCAGGUCUCCAGGGUCAGGUGUAGAGCCUCUUCCCUUGGAUGUGCCCUCCAGGAGCAGCUGUGCCCCUGCUGUGCCUUGGAAGCCCAGUGACUCUCUACUGCCAGGACUACCCGGAGCCUAGGUUCCAACCAAACCUGCUCCAUAAAUCCUCAGAUUCUACAUCUUUAGAACAUAUGUCACAUCCCCUACCCCAUCUUUGUGAAAUCACAAACACCAACUCUUUGACCAGUCUGCCGUCACCCAGGGUUAGUGGAUCUGAGACUGAGGGGCAUUCCAAGUAAUGGUCAACUAAGAGGCACUUGUGACUGUGGUGCCAUGGAUAGUGGGGCCCACUUGAUCUAUUGUGUUGAGGGGUAGAAGCUGUGAGGGAUCCAGUGCUACUGAGCAAGUUGACCUGCUCCAGAAUUAGAAAGGGAGACCCCUGUCCAAACCAGGGGGCCUCUCUGGCAGAUUAACCUCCCAUUACACCAGUAUAUCUAGAAUUAUUUAACAUAACCCAGGACCAACACCAGAUAAAGACAGGUUAAAAAAAAAAAAGGUAAGUGGAGCCCACUACUUCCAAGGACCUAAAAACAAAAAUCCUUAAGAGAGGAUCAGCAAGUUGAUUCCAGCGAUACAUGAAAAGAAUACUUGUGAACUUAUAGGACUUUUGUCUAGGAAUGCCCAGUUAAUGCUUCAAACUAUUUUUUAGUAGGUUAGGCCAUUAUGCCAGGAAAAAAAAAACCCUGUAAUACACAGUCAUUAAAAAAAAUGUUUCCCAUUGCCUUACCUAGUGUCAGGCAGAUCCCAGCACCCGUAGCGUGAGGGUCCUAGGGAAAGUCCUCUGCCUUCUCCAACUGCUUUUUUUUGGUUUUGUUUUGAGACAGGCUCUCUCCAUGUACUCCAGGCUGACCUCAAGUUUGCCAUGAUCCCCCUUCCAAGUCUUGAGAUUACAGGCAUGUACUGCCAUGCCUGCUUCUGCCUGCCCAGGGAGAGAGGCUACAGAGCAUUUGGGGGGACAGUCAAGAGGGAGACAAAGAAGCCAGGAGAGGCUCAGAAUUCCUGCAGACUGGGCUUGCUUCUCAUUAGCCUGGCUAACCUAGAGAAAGAGAAAGGACUAGAUAACCCCAAGACUAACGAACAUAAGUCACAGGGCAAAGGCCACUAUUUUGGAACUGCUUUUACAGUGAUUCAGCUGUGGGAGGGCCUUAGGGAAGGCAGGUGGCCAAGCUGUAGGCCCAUGUGGAGUGCGGUUGGGAAGGUGUACCUCCACUUAUCUUCACUUGUUCCUCCAUCUGGUCUAUUAUUUUAUUCACAUUUGUCCAAGAAGAAAACGAGGCUAAGAGAACACAGCGCUGGCCUUGGGAAGGGUUGCACAGCUCUCUGAAUGCGGAUAAGAGACUGGCGUGUGGAUACAUCUGAAGAGGACCACAAGCCAUAAAGAAUUGAUGAAGAGAGAAACUGUGUCCAAGGCAAUUGAGCAAACACUGUCUGCAUGGAGUCUUCCCAGACCACUGGUUACAGAUGAAUCAAGACAGAAUGAGUUUAGAGAUGUACAUCAAGGCAUCUCCCGCCUCAGACACCUCCAAAGCAUUCCUCAGCUGCCAAGGAAGAGCAUCUCAGUCAUGGAACCUCCGAUACCAUGGUCCUCUCUUGGUCCUGAACUGACCAUUUUCCAAGUGAUGACCAUUUUCCAAGUGAGGGUAAGGAGCUGCCUAUGGUUAUCAUGGCUACUGAGUGUGCAUCGAACUGCCCCAUGUUUGCUCAUACAUGAAGAAAUAUGAAUCCCGUUUCACCUGAGCAGUGUGAUCCUUGAACCUUCAACUCUGUGAAGAAACCACAGAGAUCUGUCCUCCUCACUUCCUUCCUCAAGGUCCAGGGUGGGAACAAACCUGGGCUGUGAGCUGGAGCCCCACAGCAGCCCUGAGGCUUGGUGUACUGCAGACAUCAAGCCUUUUAUGGCUGGUAUAGUUGUGGGGUCUCAUAGAAAUCCACAGUCCUCCCUCUCAGGUAAGGACCUCUGUAGAGAGACUGUAGUCCAGGUGGUUAUAGGGUGCUAGUCUUAGAGGGUACCCUGAUACUCAGGGGGAGGGCACUGAUGGUCCUGCAGUUCUCGAGGGCUUGAACUUUCCUCUCCACCCCCGGCUACCCUCUGCUCGGUAGUCAUUGUCCCUCGCUUCCUCCGUGGUAUCAUUCAACACAACAGCAAGGCAGCUGAAGGUCUCCCACAUCCUUUGAGGUCCAGCCCCACCAUCCUCACCUUGAGAGCAAAGGCCAGGGACUUGCUCAUUGUCAAGGCCACCAUCCCUCCUUGUCCCUCUUAGCCCUGACCCUCUGGGAAGCUUGAAAUCUGCACAGUGCCUCCUUGUAGUCAGAGUCCCCUGUAUAUCCCCUAAUCACCAUUUGAUCUCUCCCCAUCUCACUCCAAGCCCCCUACUCUAUGAGCCUUUCCCUAACAUGUACCAGUGUUAAGGUGAAUGCCAAACACACCCUGAGCACCUCCUGAACAAUUGUGUCUAGGUCCUUGCAAAGGCAGGACUCAGACAGACCCAGGGCUGCGAGAGGAGUGUUGUUCCCUGGCUUUCCCAAAGGCCCCGUCACAGAACCAGCACCUCGUCCUCUGGAUAGGCACCGGUGCUGGAUGUGACCAACAGACCUGCCUGGCUAGGGCAACGUACAGGGAGUGACCACAGACUUGCACCUGACAGACUGCUGUUCUUCCCUCACGGCUAUAAGGGGGACAGAUCUCUGGUGGCUUCUCCAGGUUUGACACAGGGACAGAGGGACUCUAAACGACACCCUGGAGUCACAGCACUGAGCCACAGGCCAGCUGUCCUGCACACAUGCUUGUACUGCACACGGACACGCCUGGGGUUGUUGAUGGCUGUGUCAUACUAUGUCUCUGGUGACAGACUAGUGUUCCUGCCACCCCUCCUACCCCAGCCUGGUGACCCCGGGCCACAGUCCAGACAAGCAUCAGAGCCCCUUGGCAAUUCUCUCCAUUUGUAUUUCCCACAGCCCAUUUCCCCUCCUGUUAGGU